Molecule: transfer RNA, 72 nt
Filed under: Candidatus Zixiibacteriota bacterium
Lineage: Bacteria; Pseudomonadati; Candidatus Zixiibacteriota
Also listed under: 2 other names
Description: candidate division Zixibacteria bacterium tRNA-Lys
Rfam family: tRNA
About the family: Transfer RNA (tRNA) molecules are approximately 80 nucleotides in length. Their secondary structure includes four short double-helical elements and three loops (D, anti-codon, and T loops).
Source: RNAcentral
GGGGGUGUAGCUCAGUGGUAGAGCAUCUGCCUUUUAAGCAGGUGGUCGAAGGUUCAAUCCCUUCCACCCUCA